Hipposideros armiger (great roundleaf bat) is the source of this 4309-nucleotide long non-coding RNA. RefSeq lists it as uncharacterized. The record is from RefSeq and is a predicted model, not a curated record. Lineage: Eukaryota; Metazoa; Chordata; Mammalia; Chiroptera; Hipposideridae. The transcript has 3 exons.
GUAUUGGGUUUCAUUCAAAGAUACCCAGAGUCUGAUCCAUUGUCACCACCUCCACUGCUGCCACCAACCUCCAAGCCACCCACCAUCUUUUCUCUCAUCUGGAUUAUCUCACUGGCUUCCUCACAGGUCUCCCCCGUCAUCUCCUGUAACCCCUACCGUGAACAGCUUCUCCAGGAAGUGGCCAGAAGGAAUUCACUGGAAACAUUUACCAACGGAAUGGCCUUGGGCAGGUUAUUUCACUCUUCUGCACUUCAGUCUCUUUAUUGAAACAAAAGAGAAAAUAAUAGUAGCUGCCUCAUGAGGCUGUUGCGAGGAUUCAGUGAAAUAAGGUAGGAGCGCCUGGCAUAUAGUAAGCCCUGGCGUUAUUAGUCGUCUGUCAUUUCACUUACCACGCUGUGUUGUAACUAGUUUUUUAAGAGUCCUCUCUUCCCACUAGAUUGGGUGUUGCUGGAAGGCAUGUACCAUAGAAACACCUAGCACCACACCUCAAGUCAGGCCUCUGCUCAAACCCUCCCCAGUGGCUUCUCAUUUCAUCUGAAACAAUAUCGAAAGGCUCUGCUGGCCCACAAGGCUCCGUGUGAUCUGGGCCUGACUGUAUCUCCUCGGACUCCCCUUCCUCUUACUCACUUCCUUCCUGCCACAUGGACUUCGAGGCUUUUCCAUCACCCCACACAGGUUUUGCCUCAGGACCUUUGCAUUGGCUGGUCGCUUGGUCUAGAAAGCUCUUUGCCUGGAUAUCUGUACGGCUCAUUUCUUCCAUUCAAGUCUUGGCUUAAUUGUUAUCUCUUCAGAAAGGCCUUAUUCGUCCCCCCCUUCAACCUCCGGCCACCCCUUGGCCUAUUUUAUAUUUCGCCACCACUUGCUCUUAUGUUACAUAUCCAUUUUUUGUUUCCUUGUUUAUUGUCUGUCUUGCCCACCAGGAUAUAAGCUCUAUGAGGGCUAGGAGGCUGUCUACUUUACCACAAUAUUCCCAAUGCCCAGGAAGGUGCCUGGCUCAUGGAAUGUACGGACCAAAGCCACCUGAUGAAUAAAUCAUCAAGCCUGGAGGAGCCCAGCCCAGACUGCAGCCCCAAUCCUCCUGACUGUUUUAAAACUGGAAGAGAAAGAGAGAGAGAGACAGAGAGAGAAAUUCCAUAUCUGAACACCACAUUGGGGGACGUUUCCACUUGCCCUGAGUUUCAACCCGCUUUGGGGACUGUCGGAAGUGCACAGCCGAGCGCUGCCAGCACCCAGCACACGGAGCGGUUCGGGCUUGUUCAAGCCUGGAAACAAACUCUGGUUCCCAGGGCUGUGACUGACCUGCUGAUUCUACGUCACCAUCAUACUCUUAGGAGCAUGAUUUCCUUUCAGAGGACUUUGAGAUUCAUAGCACGUGCUGUAAACAUGUCUCCUGGACACUGAACUCAGCGUUCAAGGCUUCUCUUCAAUAAUUCACUCACCCAAUACAUUUUAUUGAGCACUGACUACUUGUCAGACCAGGACCUGGAGUGAACGAGACAGACAUGGAGCCUACGCUCGGGAAGCCUGGUCAUCUUGGGUGGGAGACGCGACACAGACAUGGUGGGGAAGCUGUAUGCAAGGCCGUCAUUGUGGAAGUUCUGUCUGUGAGCCCCUCGAUGGGUUUUUAGCAGAACACCUUUUACACAGAUGGUGUGAAAUGAAUACACUAUCCGUUGAAAUGAAGCAGAGGAAACACAAUGAAGAAGUACCCACUCACGUUGUGGUACCAGCCUCUCAGAGCAGCCAGCAGAGGAGAGAGACCCCCUCCUUAACAGGUAAGGCUGCUGAGACUGGGAGGUUAGGUGCCCCACACACGGAGAUCACUGGAAGAGCCAGGAUUUGAACACUGGCUCUCCUGACUCCAAAGCUGGUGUUCUUUCCACUGUGUCACAGAGAAGUAAUAUAUAUGUCUCCAUCCUCUGAGGGUUUCAGACCACCUGAAGAUGGUCUGGCUGUAGGGGAGUUUAGGACCAGACCUUAGGGGGGGCUUGAGUAUUAAAGUAACAGUCUAGGUUUUUUGAGCAGGGCAAAUGACACAUUAGGAGCUGUACUUGAGAAAGAGAAGCACUGACUGGGAGUGACAAUCACAGGAAGAAUAUAUCAGCUAUUUCUGUUGAGCUCUGUGCUCACCCCAGCCCUGCUGUUAUCAAGCUCAUGUUAGAGACGAGGAAAAGGAGGAUCAGAGAGGUUAAGCGUCUACCUAGACUCCCAUGGCUGGUAAGAGGGAUUUGAAGUCACAGCCUGACGACCUCCUCGCCUGUCUGGGUGAGAGGUCAGGAGCUGGAGAAAAGGCUGUGGGAAAGGAGAGGCUGGUGGUCAGGGGAAGGGACCUGCAGAGAAGUAUCUGGAUUUGUGCCUCCCUGAGCCCUGGUCCACCCCGGUGUCAUUGUCCCUUGACAAUCUUUGCCUUUUCUUGUGCUGUGUCCCUUCCUAGAAUGCCCUUCCCCUCCUUGUGGUCUCUUGAAAGCUGACCCACCCAUCCCAAAGGCCACCUCCUUCCCUGACCUCCCAUUGUUGGCACCUCCUUGAGCCUCAACCCAGUAAUUGAAGCCAAGAUCAGAACCUGAACCUCUCACCUCUCGGCUGUGCCACUUGGUCUAGUCUCUGCCUCAGUUUCCUCAUCUGUCAUAAGGAUGUCAUAAGAACUACUUUACUAGAGUUCUGUCAAAACUAAAUGAAAGGCAACCAGGAAUAUGUGUGAGCUCUAAAAAUCAAAGAGUGACAGUUUUGCGUGACCAGUGGCUUCUUGUUAAUCUUAUCACACUGCCCCACUAGAUUACGAGAUUAUGAACUGAAGUUAUUUUCACCUCUUGUCUAUCUCUCAGUGGCAGACUCCACAGAGACCAGUCAUGCUGAGGCUUCCACGUUGGGAGUCUUGCUGGGGAAAGGCCCUGGGAACCUCCCCACUGCCCACCAGCCCUUUCCUGAGUCUGGCCUGGCCUCUGGCUCCUGAGGCAGCUGCAGCCCCGCACAAUUCACCUCCUUCCUGUGUAACCCAUUUCAGGAUUAGCCAGCCAGGAGGUCAUAAAAUGCAAAGAGGAAGUGGGAGCAUCCCACAAUUGUAGGAACCUGGACUCCAAGGGAAGUAACCUGUCUGUUGGUCUAUCUGCCUUUGGGGGAGUGGGCCAUAAAUCGCCAUCUUAAGGGUGGUGAAAGGAUGUGAGCCAUUUAUAAAGAGUCUGGAGCUUUUGAACUGUUUAAAGAGGCACUAGCCUUCUUGCAGGUAAUUGGAGUUUGGUAUCAAGGGCUCAGAUGCUCCCAUCAAACAAAGCCACCAGCGGCCCGAUGGUGGGGAGUGUGUGCGCAGGGAAGCACAGAGGCUCAGACACAGGCCUGGCCAGUCCCCCUGUUCUCCCCUGGGUCCCUGACACCAGGUUGGUCAUUGAGCGUGCUUAGGACAACUCGUGCCUAAGGACUGCCUGCUUCCUUCCAAGAGUAAGAGAGGCGGCCACAAGAGGAACGAUAAGUGCUCCUCCAGGUUUGCAUAAAAUGCUGACUUUGUACUUGCUGUUUCUUCCCCCUUGAGUACUCUCCCCACCAAUCCCUUCUUAAAUGUCAGCUCCUCUGAGCCCAUCCCUGACAAUGCUUACAUCUUUCAUCGCAUUAUUUGGUUUUGUUUCCUUCAAGAACUUGCAAACUGCUGGGGUCGGGCUCCACAGCCAUGUGUCCCCACUGGACCCUGACCACCAGCAUCCUGCUUGGCACAUGCUCCCUAAGUACCUGUUGCCCGGAGGAUUGAAUUAACAUAAGAAUCACACAGAGGAGGGGACUGAGGCUCUGUUGGGGGAGUAGAUUGGAUGUGAAAGGCUUCAGAGAGGUGACAUCUGAGUGUACCCUGCGAGAGGAGCAGCCCCGAAGUGCAGGCCAGGUGGGGACUGCCUGCCAUGUUUCAGAGAGCGGGAGCAGUGUAGUGUGACUCCAGUACCGGCAGGAGGCAAGGCGAUAAGGGAGGGUUGCCAGGGGGGUUAUACAGGCUCUGAAAGUUGUGCUACAAAUAACUUUGAUUAGAAAAAAAAACUGCCAGGGGUUCAGGGGGAGUAAGAGAGGGGUGAAGAGGUAGCGCACAGCGGACUUGUAGGGCAGUGACACUAUUCUGUGCAGUCCCAUGAUAGUGGAUUCAUGUGUGAUCCAUUUGUCAAAUCCCACAGAAUGUCCAACAGAGUGAACCCUAAUGUAAACCAGGGACUUUAGCUAACGUAUCAAUAUUGGCUCAUCAACUGUAAAGAAUUGUACUAUGCAUGUUAAUAACAGGAAAUUGGUGGAGAAAGGGAUAGUAUGGGAGCUCUCUACUUUCCACUCAUUUUUCUGU